RNAcentral lists this ribosomal RNA (497 nucleotides) under uncultured bacterium. RNAcentral's name for it is "partial 16S ribosomal RNA". It matches the Rfam family "Bacterial small subunit ribosomal RNA", at positions 28 to 507 of the family's 1533-position model. The record is from RNAcentral.
GAUGAACGCUGGCGGCGUGCCUAAUACAUGCAAGUAGAACGCUGAAGGAAGGAGCUUGCUCUUUCCGGAUGUGUUGCGAACGGGUGAGUAACGCGUAGGUAACCUGCCUGGUAGCGGGGGAUAACUAUUGGAAACGAUAGCUAAUACCGCAUAACAGUAGAUGUUGCAUGAUAUCUACUUAAAAGGUGCAAUUGCACCACUACCAGAUGGACCUGCGUUGUAUUAGCUAGUUGGUGAGGUAACGGCUCACCAAGGCGACGAUACAUAGCCGACCUGAGAGGGUGAUCGGCCACACUGGGACUGAGACACGGCCCAGACUCCUACGGGAGGCAGCAGUAGGGAAUCUUCGGCAAUGGACGGAAGUCUGACCGAGCAACGCCGCGUGAGUGAAGAAGGUUUUCGGAUCGUAAAGCUCUGUUGUAAGAGAAGAACGAGUGUGAGAGUGGAAAGUUCACACUGUGACGGUAUCUUACCAGAAAGGGACGGCUAACUACGUG